Long non-coding RNA from Vitis vinifera (wine grape), 2630 nucleotides. RefSeq lists it as uncharacterized. The record is from RefSeq and is a predicted model, not a curated record. The transcript is spliced from 2 exons. NCBI's taxonomy places the organism in Eukaryota, Viridiplantae, Streptophyta, Magnoliopsida, Vitales, Vitaceae.
UUUAUAUUAUUAUUUCUAUAAUAAUUAUCCCCAUAUCUCAUAAAGUUCUUCAGAAGGUGGAUCAUUCUCUCUCAUCAUUUCACCAAGACAAGAAGCUCUUCGUCUUUGCCCUAAUUUUAAUCAUUGAUUUAGGGUUUGGUUGGAUUCAAUGGGACAACAGCAAUCCAAGGACGAGUUGCUUCAUCAGCAAGUCGUUUAUGGCAACGUUGAAGGGAUCAAGCACUUUCCAGAGAAGGCGCGGGCCUUGAGGUAUUGCUGAAAUUAUUGCCUCUUUGUUUGGUCACUGAGAUGGCUUUGGAAAAUGAUGGAAAAUCUUUUGUGUUGUGUUUUAAGCCCAGUUGAUUGUAGGGUGUUUUCCCCGCUAGUUUUUGGUUUGCUUCUCGGCAACCAUUGUGGUUGAUUGAGUCUAUUUCGAUGGGGUUAAGGGCUUGUUUGGGUUUUUUCUCAACGACCAGACUGGUUCCGGUUCCAGGAUUAUAUAAAGAUGUUUUCUGUUUCCUAUUUUCUGUUCUAGAAACGUAAAAUGACUUCUGAAAAACGUGCUUUUGGGAAACCAAACAAAACAGGUCAUGGGUUUCUAACUAUGAUGGUUUUGGUGCAGUGGACCGACAGAGAAGGAAAGACUCCAUUGAUUGUGGCGUGCAUGUUUUCUAAACUUUUUAAUAUGUAUUUGUGUGAGAAUGACAGGUACAAAAUUUUUUUAAGAUAUACUAUCACAUAAUCAUCCUUUCUAAAAAACGAGAGAGGAAAAAAAAAAGAAUGAUUUUUCUGUUUGUAUCUAAGUGGGAAUGAGAUAUAGAAUUUCGUUGAGAGUAUCCAACCCCAAAAGGACCAAUCCGGGAAGGCAUGUGUGGUAUUGAUGGGAGAUGAUAAGAUGGAAAUCAUAACCAUAGCCAUGUUCUCUCUGUGUCUUUCUAUCAUCUUCAAUUAAUUCAUGGACAUAAAUAUUUUAUUUAGUUUUUAUAUUUUGUUUAUUUAUAGUUUAUUUAGUUUCUAAAAUCCAAUUAGCUAGAUAUUUUAUUUGAUUUUAUUUUUAUAUUUAAGUAGUUGAGUUUUGGAAAGUUUUUAUAUUUUGUUAAUAGAAAUAAAAAUUUUAUAUUUUUUAUUAUUAGGAAUUUCUAUUUUGUUAAAUUGUAAGUAUCUAUCUCAAUAAGAGAUUAUUAAUAUUCAAAUGAAAGUGAUGAAAGAGAGUAAAUAUUUUAAUGCUCAAUUAUAUUUUAAUGUUAUUUUUUUUUACAUAAGGGUUUAUUUAUGUUUUCAAUUUUGAAGUUCCCUUUCCAAGUCCAUCAACAAAAGUAGUGUCCAACCUUAAAAUGGGCAUGUGUGGUAUUGACAGGAAAUGAUAAGAUGGAAAUCAUAACCAUAGCCAUAUUCUCUCUGUGUCUUUCUAUCCUCUUCAAUUAAUUCAUGGGCAUAGAUAUUUUAUUUAGUUUUUAUAUUUAGUUUAUUUAUAGUUUAUUUAGUUUCUAAAAUCCAAUUAGCUAGAUAUUUUAUUUGAUUUUGUUUUUAUAUUUAAGUAGUUGAGUUUUGGAAAGUUUUUAUAUUUUGUUAAUAGAAAUAGAUAUGAGGACUUAAAGGGUUUAUAUUUAGGUAGUACUUGAGCCAAGGAAAAUGAUAGUCCACUAUCUUGACCCUAUGCAUCACAAACCAUGUGAGGACUUAAAGGAUAUCGUAAACAUGUAAGUUCUUCCUAUUAUUUUUCAUAGUAUUAUUUUUAAAUAAAAAAAAAUACAUUCACCUCAAACACAUUUUUUAUUAUUAUUUAUAUAUAUUAAAACAUAUAACAUUUACCUAUUUUAAAAAUGUACCCAUUGAACUUAUUUACAUAGGGCUCUUCGAAUAUUUGCAAAGAAAACAUCUAAGAGGGAGCCAUCUUAGCAACUAGUGCAGGUGACAUCCAAAAAUUUUUCUUUACACAUUAGCUUAUGCAUUUGCACCAUUUAUAUAUGUGAGUACUAAUGUUAUUUUAUAAUUGAUCGAUUAGUGUCCAAGACAAGGAAGGUUCGAAUGUGGCUACUUUGUUAUGAGAUUCAUUAAAGAGAUAAUUUUUUAUCCUACAAUUAUUGCUUCAAAGGUAUUACUUAUUUAAUGAAUUGUACAUAGUUUUAGGCUUCCAAAUGUUAUGCAUUUUAAUGUUAUUUUCUUAUUUGAUUUCAGUUUGGUAAUAAAAAAAAAAACAUAUUCUCAAGUAGAAUUCAAUGAAAUUAUAGGAGAAUGGGCUAUUUUUGUGCUACAACUAAUCAUGAAUCAUGUUUGAUGCAUCAUGAUCACCAUGCAUGGUAUACACUCUUGGGAGGGUGAAAUGGAGAAUAAAAAGAAAGAAGAAGGCAACAAGAUUUUGGGUUUUUAAAUGCAACUCUUAUGUCAUACGUUGUAGGACAUAAACGUUACUUUAAUUGCAACUGAGAAAUUUAGAUUUUUAGAUAGGACUUCUAUGUCAUUUUAUGGUUAGCCGGUUUUAUGCUUAUGAAAUGGAGGUAUACAUGAAUCUUGGGAUCUUUAACAUUUCUAAAUCAUGUUUUGGUAUGUAUUCACUCUUCUUUUUUAGUUUUGAUGGGUUUGAUAUGUUGGACGUACUAUCCUUUUGUGAACAUUUGAUAUACAAAUAUUAUUAGAUGAUUAAUGUAUUA